RNAcentral lists this ribosomal RNA (301 nucleotides) under uncultured bacterium. Its description in RNAcentral is "partial 16S ribosomal RNA". It matches the Rfam family "Bacterial small subunit ribosomal RNA", at positions 509 to 809 of the family's 1533-position model. The record is from RNAcentral.
CAGCCGCCACGGUAAUACGGAGGGUGCAAGCGUUAAUCGGAAUUACUGGGCGUAAAGCGCACGCAGGCGGUCUGUCAAGUCAGAUGUGAAAUCCCCGGGCUUAACCUGGGAACUGCAUUUGAAACUGGCAGGCUAGAGUCUUGUAGAGGGGGGUAGAAUUCCAGGUGUAGCGGUGAAAUGCGUAGAGAUCUGGAGGAAUACCGGUGGCGAAGGCGGCCCCCUGGACAAAGACUGACGCUCAGGUGCGAAAGCGUGGGGAGCAAACAGGAUUAGAUACCCGUGUAGUCCCUGUCUCUUAUAA